RNAcentral lists this ribosomal RNA (238 nucleotides) under Uracanthella punctisetae. Its description in RNAcentral is "partial 12S ribosomal RNA". The record is from RNAcentral. Lineage: Eukaryota; Metazoa; Arthropoda; Insecta; Ephemeroptera; Ephemerellidae.
GGCGGUGAUUUAACCAAUCAGAGGAAUUUGCCCCGUUAUCGAUAACCCACGUUGAACCUUACUUAGUUURGUAGACAGUUUGUAUACCGCCGUCAUCAGGAAAUUUUAAGAAAAUAUUUCCAGAAACUUUUAGAAGAAUAUGUCAGGUCAAGGUGCAGCCAAUAGCUAAGGGGGAGGUUAAUUACAAUAAAAUUAUUUAUUACGGCUUUUUAUAUGAAAGAGAAAAUAAAGGUGGAUU